This 253-nucleotide ribosomal RNA is filed under the name uncultured bacterium. RNAcentral describes it as "partial 16S ribosomal RNA". It matches the Rfam family "Bacterial small subunit ribosomal RNA", at positions 524 to 776 of the family's 1533-position model. The record is from RNAcentral.
UACGUAGGGUGCAAGCGUUGUUCGGAAUUACUGGGCGUAAAGCGUGCGCAGGCGGUUUUGUAAGACCGAUGUGAAAUGCCCGGGCUUAACCUGGGAACUGCAUUUGUGACUGCAUGGCUAGAGUUUGGCAGAGGGGGGUAGAAUUCCACGUGUAGCAGUGAAAUGCGUAGAUAUGUGGAGGAACACCGAUGGCGAAGGCAGCCCCCUGGGUCAAGACUGACGCUCAUGCGCGAAAGCGUGGGGAGCAAACAGG